Molecule: ribosomal RNA, 399 nt
Filed under: Ensifer sp. R-46170
Lineage: Bacteria; Pseudomonadati; Pseudomonadota; Alphaproteobacteria; Hyphomicrobiales; Rhizobiaceae
Description: bacterial SSU rRNA
Rfam family: Bacterial small subunit ribosomal RNA
Source: RNAcentral
GUUUGAUCCUGGCUCAGAACGAACGCUGGCGGCAGGCUUAACACAUGCAAGUCGAGCGCCCCGCAAGGGGAGCGGCAGACGGGUGAGUAACGCGUGGGAAUCUACCCUUUUCUACRGAAUAACGCAGGGAAACUUGUGCUAAUACCGUAUAAGCCCUUCGGGGGAAAGAUUUAUCGGGAAAGGAUGAGCCCGCGUUGGAUUAGCUAGUUGGUGGGGUAAAGGCCUACCAAGGCGACGAUCCAUAGCUGGUCUGAGAGGAUGAUCAGCCACAUUGGGACUGAGACACGGCCCAAACUCCUACGGGAGGCAGCAGUGGGGAAUAUUGGACAAUGGGCGCAAGCCUGAUCCAGCCAUGCCGCGUGAGUGAUGAAGGCCCUAGGGUUGUAAAGCUCUUUCACC